AUGGCGCUCACCGGCGACUACAAGCUCAUCAGCACCGAGGACAUGCUCCAAGGCCACGCCGAGCUCUGCAUCCACGCCUACGGCUUCGUCAAGUCCAUGGCGCUCAAAUGCGCCAUAGAGCUCGGCAUUCCCGGCGCCAUCCACGGCAACGGCGGCGGCGCCACGCUCGGCGAGCUGGCCACCAUUAUCGCCCUCCCUCCCUCCAGGCUCCCGCGCCUGCGCCGCCUCAUGCGCGUGCUCACCGUCUCGGGCGUCUUCUCCGUCCAACACCAGCAGCCGGACGACUCCGCGGGCUGCGCCAUCGUCGUCUACGGGCUCACCUCAGCCUCCCGCCUCCUCGCCGGCGACGGUGAGGCGUCGUCCGGACUGUCCCGUCUAGUGUCCCUCAUGGUCGACCCGAAACUCACCGCGCCGUUCUCCGGCAUGAGCGCGUGGUUCAUGGACGACGAGCAGCCGCGCUCCUUCUUCGAGAUGCACCACGGCGAGGACAUGUGGGAUAUGGCCGCGCGGGAGGCUGCUCUGAGCAGGACGAUAGGCGACGGCAUGACCGACGACAGCCGCUUCGUCGUGGAGGUGCUCCUGAGGGAGGGCCGCGCGCGCGACGUCUUCUCCGGGGUGCGCUCGAUGGUCGACGUCGGCGGCGGCACCGGCACCAUCGCAAAGGCCAUCGCGGCAGCUUUCCCGCACGUUGAGUGCAGCGUCCUGGAUCUCCCACACGUCGUCGCGGAGGCCCCCGCCGGCGGAGAGGUGCGAUUCAUCGAGGGCGAUAUGUUCGAGCACAUUCCCCCGGCCGACGCUGUUCUGCUCAAGUCAGUGAUGCACGAUUGGCGUGACGACGAGUGCGUCAAGAUACUACGAAGGUGCAAAGAGGCAAUCCCUUCCAGAGAAGCUGGAGGGAAGGUGAUAAUCAUAAACAUGGUGGUUGGUUCUGAAAAGUCGAAGGGUAAUAGUACUAAAAAGGAGGAGGCACAAGCAUUGUACGAUCUCUUCCUCAUGGUUUUUGAGGGAGGUGAACGAGAAGAGCAUGAGUGGGAGAAGAUCUUCUUGGAAGCCGGAUUCAGUGGCUACAGUAUCAUACCUAUGCUAGGAAUUAGGUCCAUCAUCGAGGUCUAUCCUUAA
This 1119-nucleotide ribosomal RNA is filed under the name Triticum aestivum (bread wheat). Its description in RNAcentral is "partial small subunit ribosomal RNA". Lineage: Eukaryota; Viridiplantae; Streptophyta; Magnoliopsida; Poales; Poaceae. The record is from RNAcentral.